RNAcentral lists this long non-coding RNA (1481 nucleotides) under Mus musculus (house mouse). RNAcentral's name for it is "Pvt1 oncogene". The stretch from base 44 to 200 matches the Rfam family "Pvt1 oncogene conserved region 1". The record is from RNAcentral. Lineage: Eukaryota; Metazoa; Chordata; Mammalia; Rodentia; Muridae.
ACCCGCCAGCCCCGCGCUCUACCAGGCAGAGCGCGUGUGGCCGCCGAGCACAUGGACCCACUGGUCAAGCGGGCUCGGCAAGGCCAGGAUGAAGAGAAGCUACGAACUUAGCAUUCCCAGAGCCCCCCGAGUGGAUAUCCGCGUGGAAAGGAUGUUGGCAGCCCCGGUGACCUCGGAGUCACGGCUGGAUCCACCCUCUUGUCUGAUUUUCUUAACUCUACUACGGUAAGAAGAUGCCCUCCAUCAGCAGGCCGUGUCUGCUGGGACCUCUCUGGAGACUUCCUGAACCCUGUGGAUUUACAGUAAGAUGCAGUUUCCUGGGGAGUAAUUCUGGUGGAUACAAAUUCCGGAGUAUUACACCUGGCUUGCCUGGAGAUGUUACAAGUAGCUGGAUGGAUUCUUCAGCCUGGAUGCCCACUGAAAACAAGGACCGAAACUAAGAGGAUUGUAUCUCUACCCUUGACUCAAUGAGAAUGUUUGUUGUCAUCUCUCGGGCUACCUGGAGCUCCCUCUAAAAUGGGCUGGGACACUGCCUGAUUGAGGUGGCCAUUGAGAAUUCAAGUGUACCUCUUGGUCCCUGAUGCAGAAAUGAAGUCCCCAGCAUGCUCAAGAAGAGCUUCCUUGGAGGAUGAGAGGCAUGGGAAUCUAAGUAUACCCUUUAAGCGUUCCAGAAGGAUUUUGAGAUCCUUUCCUAAAUCAAAGGUGGAAUAUUUGGGGAUUUGGAAAAUUGAGAUGUGAAGCGUUGACUUAAGAGAUGCCAAGUAACUCAGCAGAUGUCACACAGACGAUAAAUAGCAAAGAUGGAAGUCUUCAUGCCGGAGGCAAUCCUAUAAGACAGCUGAGUUCUGCAGAGCUGGUAGGAGACAGACUUGCUCAGGUGAUAGAUCCAGCCAUGAUACUGACCCUAAGAGAAUGAGACGCUCUGCAGAAGACAGAAGAUUCCUGAAACUGGGAAAGGUGCCUAGAAAUCCUGAUAAGAGUGAAGAAGGAGCUGGCAGAGCAGCCUUCCUCCGCACUAUGAAAGACAUCCAACAGAGAGCAAGUUCCCACCUCACUUCCAGCUUGACUCCUUUUUAUCUCCUAACUGUGGUCUGUGAUGUCUUCAGCAAUGGGUACCUGGAGGCACAGCAGCCAUGUUGAACCUAUGAGGUGAUGAAAAACCAUGCAACUAGAAACCAGAAUGGAAGAAAAGAAGAAGCUGGAUCCUUGACUGAAUUGUCGAUGGGGGAUAGUCCAUCAUCCCAGGGCUAAGACCACCUCCAGAUUUCUUGUUUGGUGAAACAAGUCCUGAUUGUUUACAUUCCCUCGUGUUGAGCUGUCUCUUGCUUGUAGCUGAAAGCAUUUCUAAUAGAUAUUCAGAUUAUCAGCCUUAGCUCCAAGCUAGAAUACUCUAUGGGACCUUAGCUUCUCCAUGAAUUCCUUUGCUCAUCUGUGUAAUGCUCAAUAAAUGUAAAUUGAACCCUGAAUGAGGGACAAUGACA